This 112-nucleotide ribosomal RNA is filed under the name Acanthosepion pharaonis. Lineage: Eukaryota; Metazoa; Mollusca; Cephalopoda; Sepiida; Sepiidae. The record is from RNAcentral.
UAUGGCCACAUCACAUUGAAACACUAGUUCCCAUAUGAUCACCAAAGUUAAGCAAUGUUGAACCUGGUAGUACUGAGAUGGGUAACUGUUUGGGAAUACUAGGUGCUGUAAG